UCAGGAUGAACGCUGGCGGCGUGCUUAACACAUGCAAGUCGAACGAUGAUGCCCACUUGUGGGUGGAUUAGUGGCGAACGGGUGAGUAACACGUGAGUAACCUGCCCUUGACUCUGGGAUAAGCCUGGGAAACUGGGUCUAAUACCGGAUAUGACCUUCCAUCGCAUGGUGGUUGGUGGAAAGCUUUUGUGGUUUUGGAUGGACUCGCGGCCUAUCAGCUUGUUGGUGGGGUAAUGGCCUACCAAGGCGACGACGGGUAGCCGGCCUGAGAGGGUGACCGGCCACACUGGGACUGAGACACGGCCCAGACUCCUACGGGAGGCAGCAGUGGGGAAUAUUGCACAAUGGGCGCAAGCCUGAUGCAGCGACGCCGCGUGAGGGAUGACGGCCUUCGGGUUGUAAACCUCUUUCAGUAGGGAAGAAGCGUAAGUGACGGUACCUGCAGAAGAAGCGCCGGCUAACUACGUGCCAGCAGCCGCGGUAAUACGUAGGGCGCAAGCGUUAUCCGGAAUUAUUGGGCGUAAAGAGCUCGUAGGCGGUUUGUCGCGUCUGCCGUGAAAGUCCGGGGCUCAACUCCGGAUCUGCGGUGGGUACGGGCAGACUAGAGUGAUGUAGGGGAGACUGGAAUUCCUGGUGUAGCGGUGAAAUGCGCAGAUAUCAGGAGGAACACCGAUGGCGAAGGCAGGUCUCUGGGCAUUAACUGACGCUA
This 709-nucleotide ribosomal RNA is filed under the name Arthrobacter sp. SMCC B0679. RNAcentral describes it as "bacterial SSU rRNA". It matches the Rfam family "Bacterial small subunit ribosomal RNA", at positions 24 to 748 of the family's 1533-position model. The record is from RNAcentral. Lineage: Bacteria; Bacillati; Actinomycetota; Actinomycetes; Micrococcales; Micrococcaceae.